This is a non-coding RNA of Rattus norvegicus (Norway rat), 514 nucleotides long. The record is from RefSeq and is a predicted model, not a curated record. Lineage: Eukaryota; Metazoa; Chordata; Mammalia; Rodentia; Muridae.
GUGAGGAAUAACCGUCCCUUAUAUAGGAAACUAUCCUCGCCUAGGACGUGUCACUCUCUGACUGGUCGCUUCCAAUUAUGCCAGAUGACGUACUAAAGCGUACGUGUCCCUUUGAGUAGGGAAGUUACCAGGCGCCUGCGUAUUGCCCUUUUUACUGGGUGCGUUCUGCCGGAUGCCAGUGACAUCUUGUAAUGGAGUAUGUGAGGACAGUUCCUCACAUCUGUGAGGACAGCUCCUCGGACAGCUCCUCACAUCCAUCCAUUUACUCUGAGGUGCCAUGAGACAAAAUAUCACUCUGUAGCACAGAAUGACUUCAACCAUAUGAUGGAGCUAUCAUAUGCAGCUGGCCUUGAUGAAUACCAUCGUGUCUAUGGGGUUUCAACUCAUCAUCAAAUAAUCAAAGAGAGAUAGAGAGUGAAUCAAGACAUGUAUAGAUUAUGGAAGAUCAUUUGACUUUCUUGAACUAGUCCAACAAAUAUUAAUAAACUCUAAAAUUAUUUUAAAUCAAAUAAAA